Tinamus guttatus (white-throated tinamou) is the source of this 178-nucleotide non-coding RNA. Lineage: Eukaryota; Metazoa; Chordata; Aves; Tinamiformes; Tinamidae. The record is from RefSeq and is a predicted model, not a curated record.
GGGCGGCGUGGGCAUGGGCAUGUACAACACGGACGAGUCCAUCUCGGGCUUCGCGCACAGCUGCUUCCAGUACGCCAUCCAGAAGAGAUGGCCGCUCUACAUGAGCACCAAGAACACCAUCCUCAAGGCCUACGACGGGCGCUUCAAGGACAUCUUCCAGGAGAUCUUCGACAAGUAC